GCUCGUCGUGGCCGACGGGGCGCAGGCGGGCGGUGAGGUCGCCCUCGGCCAUACGCCUGGCGGCGGUUCCGAGGUCGCGCACCGGCC
RNAcentral lists this transfer RNA (87 nucleotides) under Sinosporangium siamense. Its description in RNAcentral is "tRNA-Leu". The record is from RNAcentral. Lineage: Bacteria; Bacillati; Actinomycetota; Actinomycetes; Streptosporangiales; Streptosporangiaceae.